Non-coding RNA from Podarcis lilfordi (Lilford's wall lizard), 80 nucleotides. The record is from the annotation of a GenBank genome assembly. Lineage: Eukaryota; Metazoa; Chordata; Lepidosauria; Squamata; Lacertidae.
CUGUGUUUGGGAUAGCUCAGUUGGUAGAGUUUGAGAUUCUUAAUCUCAGGGUUGUGGGUUCAAGAUUCCUGCAUUGCAGA